AACACGUUAUACAAGAAUGUAAUAACCCUUUCCAUCGCGCAUGGCUUCAGAAAUUACCUCAGUCAUCUAACAUGGCGAUUUGCGAAGGGAACUCGCUUGCAGAAGUCAUCCUUUCGAUAAUUUUUGAACGAGUAAUACGUAAAUAUACAAGACUAAACGAAGAUGAAAGCAGUUCCAAGAGCCCAGAAGUAUUGCUGAGGAGCCUAGUUGACCGCUAUCUGAAUUAUAAUUACGUUCAAAGAAGAUACAUGGAUUUCUACGUUCAACGUGAUAAUUAAACAUUCGACAUCCGAAAUGAAACACAUCAAACGAUAUGUCCUAUGUGGAUAAGACAAAUAUCCGACCGUCAACCAGAUUAGGAAAUGAAAACGUUUUUCUCUUCAGUCUUAUUUUUAAAUGAGAUUUUAUCAUGGCGACCAGAGUAUUUUCAUCGAUGAGUGAGGUAUUAUGUCUCUUACCUUAAGCUAUUUUAAUGGUAUUAUGUUAAUAUAAAUCAAGAAUCCUUAUAAUUUUCAACUGCUGUAAUAAAGAAUAUUCGAUAUAGGAAACAAGAUGCUUGAUGAAGGAGAGGAGAUGGUAAAAACGGCGGAGGUAGCUGAUGCUGCUUACGAAUUUAUUACAAAUCUUGCCAAUAAUCUGAAACUCAAGUUGGUGAGAGAGGCACCUUACUAUCUGGUGUAUGAAAACAACAUGUUUCUAUUGCUAGAACAUUACUAUAGCAACCAUCUACUACAAUAUUGAAUUUUAAUAAAGGAGCACAUUGGAUGGUGAAUACAGAAGAGUGGUUUACAAAGCAGUUGGAAAUUCUAAGCGAGGCAGAAACAUCGUUAGCUAUUGUUCAUGUAUGCAUUAUGUGAUUGGGAAUACAUAGGAAAAAGAAAAGGAAGAAAAAACAUUUGUCCUUGACGACGAAAUUUGGAAAAGUCAAUAUGGUGCUGUCUUAUAAAGCGUGGGACGGUGAUACGAGGAGGUGGGAGGGAUUUACUUCAUUCAAAGGUUCCAACCGCGAGCGGCUUUAGCUGGAGUGUCUAUGCGAUUCUACUGAGAAUGAUUUGUCGAAGGGCCGUUCGACGUUGCAUGCAUUAGAAGAGUCACAUGCGUCUUCAUUACGUGGUUGCAAUUAACAAGGAAGAAGAGGAAGAAGAGGAAGAAGAGGACAAACAUUUAUAAUGGUGUUGACGACGAUCCUCAAAGUAUUGCCUCAAGGUAAUCGUCAAUUAAAAUAGCGCUGUAUUACAAAGCUUCAUUCAUAUGGUGAUACGAGGAUAUGGAAUAUACGUUAUUGUAAGGAUUCAAAGGUUUAUCGUAGGGUUGUUUGCCGUUGCAAAGGGAAUCUGGAUUCAAAUGGAACUGAAAUGGUACUCAGGCAGCUUUAUCAUUGAAAAUGAUCAAAGCUUCAUAUACGAUCAAAGUAUUCAUUGUUCUUCGGGAUAAUAACGUUAGCUCGGACACGCUUUUAAAUUAUGCGUUAAUAUGUAGUGUAGGUUUAUCUCACCGUGUCAUCGUUAUACCGUCAGUUUAUAUUAUUAUUCAAUAUAAUUAAAAAGAGAAGAAGUGUUUGGUUCAAUGUUCCAAAUUAUUUGUCAGAGUAUUCACGUCAUGUACUUAAAAAUAAUGUAUAAUGUACGUUUUUCAGAAAUAUAGGUAUUUGGACGAACUAAAUUAUUACGUAGCGCAAAUAUCUUACGAUUGAGAUUUAAUGAAAAUGCAUGUAUACGUUACGUUCUUCCAUACGUAUCGUCGUGUACGUUCGUGUUAAACAAUUUGUUAUUAUCUUUCUCCACACACUUACGCUCUUACAUUCUCUCAUCCGCGCUAGAGCAUGUAAGCGGGAAUAUGUCCGCGGUUCUGUGGGUGUGCGUGCGUAUAUCUCCUCGCUUAUUUUGACGAAACGUAUUUUUUCAAAAGAGGAAAGGUAUUUUGUCGUUCGUUCUCCUUUCAUUAAACUAAGCAGGCAAUGCGAUAAUACGAUUGGCAGUGUACUUCAAUUAGCUAUUUAGCUGCAUUAAUUAAUUAGCAGAUCGAUGUACCACAACUAAUUUAGUUCUUUCAUACGAACGAAUACUUUUCCCGAAAAAUUAAUUCAAUUACUUUAUUAUUAUUAUUUAACUGCAUCAUUUAACUAGCCAGUUAAGUCUUUUGAAAAGCAAUGCACCACGUAUCUGAUUCAAUUCUUUCAUACGAGCGAGUAGAUUUUCCUAAAAAUUUAUUUCCGAGCGAAGAACGAAAGAAUGAACUAAUUAUGCACUAUAUACAACGUUGCGUAUAUUGUAUUGUGCUGUAUGUCGUAUAUUAUGCUCUAAACUAGUUAGUUCUUAUGAAAAAAUUAUAUUUCUGCAAUCAUUUAUUAUUUAUUACGUAUAACCGAGUGUAGCAGUGAUUUUAUUAUAUUUCUAGUAAAAUAAUAUUUGUAUUUUGCGAAUGCA
Molecule: long non-coding RNA, 2426 nt
Organism: Vespula vulgaris
Lineage: Eukaryota; Metazoa; Arthropoda; Insecta; Hymenoptera; Vespidae
Exons: 8
Source: RefSeq, a predicted model, not a curated record